Molecule: transfer RNA, 58 nt
Filed under: Loxodonta africana (African savanna elephant)
Lineage: Eukaryota; Metazoa; Chordata; Mammalia; Proboscidea; Elephantidae
Rfam family: tRNA
About the family: Transfer RNA (tRNA) molecules are approximately 80 nucleotides in length. Their secondary structure includes four short double-helical elements and three loops (D, anti-codon, and T loops).
Source: Rfam by way of RNAcentral
UGGCUCAGUGGUUAAAGCGCUCGGCUGCUAACUGAAAGGUCAGUGGUUUGAACCCACU